RNAcentral lists this long non-coding RNA (540 nucleotides) under Monodelphis domestica (gray short-tailed opossum). Its description in RNAcentral is "lncRNA (ENSMODG00000032652.2)". The record is from RNAcentral. Lineage: Eukaryota; Metazoa; Chordata; Mammalia; Didelphimorphia; Didelphidae.
GUUAAAUGUAAUAGAACUACUGGCUAUUGGUCUAAGCUACUUGCCCUGAUAAUUCAGCCACAGAAUUAGUCCUGAACUCGGGGCUAGAACCAAGAACUUUUUUCCCACUAUUGAUGUUACACAGCUACUAUUUAUUUCAAUGUGCUCUCCUUACCCAAAAUGUAGCCCAUGAUUCAAACUUGUUACUCUUCAUGUCAAGUUCAUUUCUCAGGCCUUGUUGGAUCUGUGACCAGUCUUUGGAGUAAGAAUACCAAGAGCUCCAACCUAGGGAAAAAUGCUACUUAUUUGAGAUGGUCUAUGAUAUGAGACUGCUGGAUGGUGAAGUGAGCCAGAACUCAGGGAGCCACUGCAAGAGGGGAGGUGGGUCUCUGAAUAUGAAGAAAACCAGAAUUGUUGGAAGAGAGAAAGAGAAAUUAGGAGGGAAUUUUAGAUGCAAAAAUUCUGAAGUUCAAUCCAGAAGCAAACACACCAGAGAAGUAGAGGCAGAAGAUAAUAGAAACUGCAGUGAGCUGAGCCCAGCCAAGACAGAUUAUGUAGAAG